GGGUCGUGGCUCGGUGGUAGAGUGCUGGCCUCACGCGCGUGAGCCUUGGGUUUGAGCCUCAGCUCCA
Molecule: transfer RNA, 67 nt
Filed under: Marmota monax (woodchuck)
Lineage: Eukaryota; Metazoa; Chordata; Mammalia; Rodentia; Sciuridae
Description: tRNA.Val
Source: RNAcentral